AACCUCUGGAUUAGUGGAUCUUCAAUAUUUGUUCAAGCAUAUAGCAAAUAAUCUGUUGCCCUAGGGUACAGGUGUUACUCCCCCUUUUUGUCAAAAGUGUUGCCAAAGCAACACUUAAAAAUUACAGACCAAAAUAAAAUAAAAUUAAACAAAACUGGCAGAAACCCAGGAAAUGAUUUAAUCAUCUGACUCAGAGUCAGCCUCAUCAUCAGUGCCAUCAUCAGGACUGGCAUCCUCUUCACCCUCUGCAUUUUGCGUUGCAGCUUCUUCU
This 271-nucleotide long non-coding RNA is filed under the name Lathyrus oleraceus (garden pea). RNAcentral's name for it is "Pisum sativum (pea) long non-coding RNA (PSAT_LNC031800)". Lineage: Eukaryota; Viridiplantae; Streptophyta; Magnoliopsida; Fabales; Fabaceae. The record is from RNAcentral.